RNAcentral lists this ribosomal RNA (1372 nucleotides) under uncultured bacterium. RNAcentral describes it as "bacterial SSU rRNA". It matches the Rfam family "Bacterial small subunit ribosomal RNA", at positions 28 to 1381 of the family's 1533-position model. The record is from RNAcentral.
GAUGAACGCUGGCGGCGUGCCUAAUACAUGCAAGUCGAGCGAACGGACGAGAAGCUUGCUUCUCUGAUGUUAGCGGCGGACGGGUGAGUAACACGUGGAUAACCUACCUAUAAGACUGGGAUAACUUCGGGAAACCGGAGCUAAUACCGGAUAAUAUUUUGAACCGCAUGGUUCAAAAGUGAAAGACGGUCUUGCUGUCACUUAUAGAUGGAUCCGCGCUGCAUUAGCUAGUUGGUAAGGUAACGGCUUACCAAGGCAACGAUGCAUAGCCGACCUGAGAGGGUGAUCGGCCACACUGGAACUGAGACACGGUCCAGACUCCUACGGGAGGCAGCAGUAGGGAAUCUUCCGCAAUGGGCGAAAGCCUGACGGAGCAACGCCGCGUGAGUGAUGAAGGUCUUCGGAUCGUAAAACUCUGUUAUUAGGGAAGAACAUAUGUGUAAGUAACUGUGCACAUCUUGACGGUACCUGAUCAGAAAGCCACGGCUAACUACGUGCCAGCAGCCGCGGUAAUACGUAGGUGGCAAGCGUUAUCCGGAAUUAUUGGGCGUAAAGCGCGCGUAGGCGGUUUUUUAAGUCUGAUGUGAAAGCCCACGGCUCAACCGUGGAGGGUCAUUGGAAACUGGAAAACUUGAGUGCAGAAGAGGAAAGUGGAAUUCCAUGUGUAGCGGUGAAAUGCGCAGAGAUAUGGAGGAACACCAGUGGCGAAGGCGACUUUCUGGUCUGUAACUGACGCUGAUGUGCGAAAGCGUGGGGAUCAAACAGGAUUAGAUACCCUGGUAGUCCACGCCGUAAACGAUGAGUGCUAAGUGUUAGGGGGUUUCCGCCCCUUAGUGCUGCAGCUAACGCAUUAAGCACUCCGCCUGGGGAGUACGACCGCAAGGUUGAAACUCAGAGGAAUUGACGGGGACCCGCACAAGCGGUGGAGCAUGUGGUUUAAUUCGAAGCAACGCGAAGAACCUUACCAAAUCUUGACAUCCUUUGACAACUCUAGAGAUAGAGCUUUCCCCUUCGGGGGACAAAGUGACAGGUGGUGCAUGGUUGUCGUCAGCUCGUGUCGUGAGAUGUUGGGUUAAGUCCCGCAACGAGCGCAACCCUUAAGCUUAGUUGCCAUCAUUAAGUUGGGCACUCUAAGUUGACUGCCGGUGACAAACCGGAGGAAGGUGGGGAUGACGUCAAAUCAUCAUGCCCCUUAUGAUUUGGGCUACACACGUGCUACAAUGGACAAUACAAAGGGCAGCGAAACCGCGAGGUCAAGCAAAUCCCAUAAAGUUGUUCUCAGUUCGGAUUGUAGUCUGCAACUCGACUACAUGAAGCUGGAAUCGCUAGUAAUCGUAGAUCAGCAUGCUACGGUGAAUACGUUCCCGGGUCU